ACUCGAACCCGCUGUCUCUGA
This 21-nucleotide microRNA is filed under the name Heligmosomoides polygyrus. RNAcentral's name for it is "hpo-miR-10150-5p". The record is from miRBase by way of RNAcentral. Lineage: Eukaryota; Metazoa; Nematoda; Chromadorea; Rhabditida; Heligmosomidae.